UUGGUGCUUGCAUCAUGAUUUACAUUUGAGUGAGUGGCGAACUGGUGAGUAACACGUGGGAAACCUGCCCAGAAGCGGGGGAUAACACCUGGAAACAGAUGCUAAUACCGCAUAACAACUUGGACCGCAUGGUCCGAGUUUGAAAGAUGGCUUCGGCUAUCACUUUUGGAUGGUCCCGCGGCGUAUUAGCUAGAUGGUGAGGUAACGGCUCACCAUGGCAAUGAUACGUAGCCGACCUGAGAGGGUAAUCGGCCACAUUGGGACUGAGACACGGCCCAAACUCCUACGGGAGGCAGCAGUAGGGAAUCUUCCACAAUGGACGAAAGUCUGAUGGAGCAACGCCGCGUGAGUGAAGAAGGGUUUCGGCUCGUAAAACUCUGUUGUUAAAGAAGAACAUAUCUGAGAGUAACUGUUCAGGUAUUGACGGUAUUUAACCAGAAAGCCACGGCUAACUACGUGCCAGCAGCCGCGGUAAUACGUAGGUGGCAAGCGUUGUCCGGAUUUAUUGGGCGUAAAGCGAGCGCAGGCGGUUUUUUAAGUCUGAUGUGAAAGCCUUCGGCUCAACCGAAGAAGUGCAUCGGAAACUGGGAAACUUGAGUGCAGAAGAGGACAGUGGAACUCCAUGUGUAGCGGUGAAAUGCGUAGAUAUAUGGAAGAACACCAGUGGCGAAGGCGGCUGUCUGGUCUGUAACUGACGCUGAGGCUCGAAAGUAUGGGUAGCAAACAGGAUUAGAUACCCUGGUAGUCCAUACCGUAAACGAUGAAUGCUAAGUGUUUGGAGGGUUUCCGCCCUUCAGUGCUGCAGCUAACGCAUUAAGCAUUCCGCCUGGGGAGUACGGCCGCAAGGCUGAAACUCAAAGGAAUUGACGGGGGCCCGCACAAGCGGUGGAGCAUGUGGUUUAAUUCGAAGCUACGCGAAGAACCUUACCAGGUCUUGACAUACUAUGCAAAUCUAAGAGAUUAGACGUUCCCUUCGGGGACAUGGAUACAGGUGGUGCAU
Molecule: ribosomal RNA, 1000 nt
Filed under: Lactiplantibacillus paraplantarum
Lineage: Bacteria; Bacillati; Bacillota; Bacilli; Lactobacillales; Lactobacillaceae
Description: bacterial SSU rRNA
Rfam family: Bacterial small subunit ribosomal RNA
Source: RNAcentral